GGACCCCGGAAGUCCGGGCGGGCGCACAGCCGGGUGCGCUUUGCCACAGAGCCUUAAAGGCGCGCGGGAACAUGGGGCUGUAUGCUGCAGCUGCAGGCGUGCUGGCGGGCGUGGGGAGCAGCCAGGGCUCCAUCAAGGGGCUGGUGUACUCCAGCAACUUCCAGAACGUGGAGCAGCUGUACGCGCUGGUGUGCGAAACGCAGCGCUACUUUGCAGUGCUGGAUGCCGUGAUCUCCAGCGCCGGCCUCCUCCGUGCGAAGAAGCUGCGGCCGCACCUGGCCAAGGUGCUAGUGUAUGAGUUGUUGUUGGGAAAGGGCUUUCGAGGGGGUGGGGGCCGAUGGAAGGCUCUGUUGGGCCGCCACCAGGCGAGGCUCAAGGCUGAGUUGGCUCGGCUCAAGGUUCAUCGGGGUGUGAGCCGGAAUGAGGACCUGUUGGAAGUGGGAUCCAGGCCUGGUCCAGCCUCCCAGCUGCCUCGAUUUGUGCGUGUGAAUGCUCUCAAGACCUGCUCCGAUGAUGUAGUUGAUUAUUUCAAGAGACAAGGUUUCUCCUAUCAGGGUCGGGCUUCCAGCCUUGACUUACAAGCCCUCAAGGGGAAGCAUUUUCUCCUGGACCCCUUGAUGCCAGAGCUGCUGGUGUUUCCCGCCCAGACAGAUCUGCAUGAACACCCACUGUACUGGGCCGGAUACCUCAUUCCGCAGGACAGGGCCAGCUGUCUCCCAGCCAUGCUGCUGGACCCCCCGCCAGGCUCCCAUGUCAUCGAUGCCUGCGCCGCCCCAGGCAAUAAGACCAGUCACUUGGCUGCUCUUCUGAAGAACCAAGGGAAGAUCUUUGCCUUUGACCUGGAUGCCAAGCGGCUGGCAUCCAUGGGCUGGCGUCUCCUGCUGUGAGCUGGCUGGGGAGGACUUCCUGGCAGUCUCCCCCUCAGACCUGCGCUACCGUGAGGUCGGUCCACUACGUCCUGCUGGAUCCUUCCUGCAGUGGCUCGGGUAUGCUGAGCAGACAGCUGGAGGAGCCCGGGGCAGGACAACCGAGCCUGUGGCAGGACGACCAAGCCCGGCUCAUCUGCAUGCCCUGGCAGGGUUCCAGCAGCGAGCCCUGUGCCACGCACUCACUUUCUCUUCCCUGCAGCAGCUCGUCUACUCCACGUGCUCCCUCUGCCAGGGAGUGAGAUGUGCUGCAGCAGAACCCUGGUGCCUUCAGGCUAGCUCCCGCCCUGCCUGCCUGGCCCCACCGAGGCCUGAGCAUGUUCCUGGGUGCUGAGCACUGCCUCUGGGCCUCCACUGAGACUAUGCUCAGCGGUGGCUUCUUUGUUGCCAUAAUUGAACGGGUCAAGGCGCCAAGCUCAGCCUCACAGGCUGAAGCAUCAGCACCAGAAUGCACACCCAGCCCAGCCCCAAAGAGAAAGAAGAGACAGCAAAAAGCCGCAGCCGGUGCUUGCACACCGCCUUGCACAUAGCAGAGGCUCCGGGCUGACUCCUUCCUGGUGGGAAAGGAAGACGCCUGUCCUCUCCGUGGAGGACCCUGGGCCCUCACCGCAGGCAGCACUUUGGGUUUUGAAAGGGUAUUGGGUCCCUUCCUCAGGCUGUGUUCUUGCUGGUGAGCAAAGUGUUGCCUGCAGAAAUAAAAAGCAGAACGUACUCUAUGAUA
Molecule: RNA transcript, 1647 nt
Organism: Nomascus leucogenys (northern white-cheeked gibbon)
Lineage: Eukaryota; Metazoa; Chordata; Mammalia; Primates; Hylobatidae
Gene name: 28S rRNA (cytosine-C(5))-methyltransferase-like
Source: RefSeq, a predicted model, not a curated record